UGCCGGUUUCUGCUUGAUCCACACGUGUUUUGCGCGACUCGUAUAGUUUAUCCGGAGUUCUACUUUCCAAUUCGUAUUAUAUUUGAUUAUCAAUCGAUGAUUUUAUUUUUACUUGACUUUAGUAAAUUUAGUACAGUUAUUUAUUAUGUGCGCGUAAGUGUUCAUGGCCAUGUUGAUUUAUUCAUUAUUUGGAUGACCCAUCGUGCUGAUUAUUUACCGAGGCUUGGAGUCUGAUGUUCUGCAUUAAUUGUACUUUCUAUGAUUACUUGAUGCACUGGUAAGUUUGUAAACGUUAUUACAUUAUACUUUCAUAUUUAUCUAAAAUUGCAUGUAACGUGAAUACCGUAACAACACAAAAUUGAUGCGUGCCGUCGGAUGCGACUUGGAUCUACCCGCAGAGUAUGGUCAUGUCAAUCAUCGGUUUAAUAACGUGAAAUUUUCCUUGCUCGCAUUUUUAUUUUUAUUUCCUAAAUCUGCGGCUCUUUAACGUAUUUUCGUAAUUUUGCAAUUAAUUAUUGAGAGUAAAAUAUUUGUAAAAUGUUUGUAAAAUGUAGCAAUUUUCUUCUUGUAUCACCCUAUGUUCUACUUUACCAUGCGUUCUAGUGUAAAACUGACUAAAUUUGUCGUUUCUGGGUCGUUUUCUACUUAAACUUUGUAUUUUAUUUUUAAAUUUAGGAAUUUCCUGUUUGUAUCACCCUGUAUGUUUGUUUUUCUUGAUUUUCUUUUUUGUACUAUUGAUUUUCUUCUUGUGAUGUAGUAAUUUCCUUUUUGUAGCACCCUGUAUAUUUGUUUUUCUUGUUGUUCGUGAAAAUUUAGCUUUAGUUGUUGUUUUAGGUUUUUCUUCUUUGCACUUUGAAUUUUCUAUUUGUAACACCUUGUAUAUUUUUUCCCAUUUUCACUCACGUAGAAAAUGGUCUAUUUCCUAAUUUCUUCAUCCCGGUAGUACUUUGCGAAGUGUAACUUGCUUGCAUGUGCGCGGCUAUGCAGGUCGUAAGUCCUGUUUCAAUAUGGCGACAUGUAUUCUGUUGACUUGUAAAAUAUAAACUUGUAUUCUAUUGUUAAUAAAGAAAUAGUAAAAUAUA
Molecule: long non-coding RNA, 1082 nt
Organism: Dalotia coriaria
Lineage: Eukaryota; Metazoa; Arthropoda; Insecta; Coleoptera; Staphylinidae
Exons: 3
Source: RefSeq, a predicted model, not a curated record